CCCGCCUACUAAACAAGGUUGCCAGGCAAUCUGUGAAAUCCUACCUACUUUAAAAGGUUGCCAGAUAGACCUGUGAAAUCAUAAUCAGGUUUUUUCCCAAGUGUGUUGAGACACACAAGGAAUUUUGUUCCAGAUGUUUAUCUCCACCAGUGAACAGAAUCAAGGUGAAAUUCAGAGCUUCUUCUCCAAAGUUCUCCUGAAUCCACUUCAGAGCAUUGUUCUCCUCCAACGUGAAUCUUCCCAGCCUGAUCACCAGCAGGAAGACAUGAGGUUGUGGUCACAGAUGCAGGAGAUGCCUCGACUCUGAAGGCUUCUUCACGCAGGAUGGUGUUUCCUGAUGCACUCUUUCCUGCUCCAGUUUUCCCCACUAACAUCAGUCGAAGCUCAGGAUGAUUCACUUCAUGUCCUAAAAAGCAGAUUGAUACAAAACAAAGCAGAUAAUAUGGAUAAUACUGUGGUCUACAGCAUAAUCUAUAACUUUAGUGGGAAUAUUGGAUUUGAAAUUUGGUAGCUGUAGUUUGAUCAGCAUUUACCUUUAAAAUCAAAAUAUAAUCCAAUACCCAGUGGAACCAGAACCAGAACGGAGGUCAGCCAAAUGAAAGAAUGAAUGUUCUAUAGAAUAGGCAGACAAAUAUUUUGAGACAUUGAUAUUUUACAAACCAAUCCUUUAAGAUGUUAUGUUCAAGCAGGUAUAUGUAGUAAGCACAUUCUCAUCUAUAACAUAGUCUAAUGGUCUGAGAUGUAAAAAUGUUUUUUAUAAAAUGAUACUAACCUUUAAUUUCCUGUUCAUAUGAUUUGCCUCUUGUAACCUUUCCAUAAGUCUAUUGCUCUCCUUUUCCUUUUCAGUCAACUUUCUAGUCACUUCCUCCAACUGUCCCUUAAGUCUAUUGCUCUCCUCGUCCUUUUCAGUCAACUUUCUAGUCACUUCCUCCAACUGUCCCUUAAGUCUAUUGCUCUCCUCGUCCUUUUCAGUCAACUUUCUAGUCACUUCCUCCAACUGUCCCUUAAGUCUAUUGCUCUCCUUUUCCUUUUCAGUCAACUUUCUAGUCACUUCCUCUAACUGUCCCUUAAGUCUAUUGCUCUCCUUUUCCUUUUCAGUCAACUUUCUAGUCACUUCCUCCAACUGUCCCUUAAGUCUAUUGCUCUCCUCGUCCUUUUCAGUCAACUUUCUAGUCACUUCCUCCAACUGUCCCUUAAGUCUAUUGCUCUCCUUUUCCUUUUCAGUCAACUUUCUAGUCACUUCCUCUAACUGUCCCUUAAGUCUAUUGCUCUCCUUUUCCUUUUCAGUCAACUUUCUAGUCACUUCCUCUAACUGUCCCUUAAGUCUAUUGCUCUCCUCGUCCUUUUCAGUCAACUUUCUAGUCACUUCCUCCAACUGUCCCUUAAGUCUAUUGCUCUCCUCGUCCUUUUCAGUCAACUUUCUAGUCACUUCCUCCAACUGUCCCUUAAGUCUAUUGCUCUCCUUUUCCUUUUCAGUCAACUUUCUAGUCACUUCCUUUAACUGUCCCUUAAGUCUAUUGCUCUCCUUUUCCUUUUCAGUCAACUUUCUAGUCACUUCCUCCAACUGUCCCUUAAGUCUAUUGCUCUCCUCGUCCUUUUCAGUCAACUUUCUAGUCACUUCCUCUAACUGUCCCUUAAGUCUAUUGCUCUCCUCAUCCUUCUCAGUCAACCUUCUAGUCACUUCCUCCAACUGUCCCUUAAGUCUAUUGCUCUCCUUUUCCUUUUCAGUCAACUGUGUAGUCACUUGCUCUAACUGUCCCUUAAGUCUGGUGUUGCUUUCUUUCAUUUCCUUUAACUUGUAAGACAUGUUUUUCUUCUCCUGUCCUUCUUCAUUCUUUUUUAUCUUCUUUUCUUUUUCUCUGUUGGAAAUUGAUAAAUGGUUACUUGUAAUUUCACAUUUAAAAUACAUCAUCCUGUUUAAACGUGGCAAAAAAAUGAACGGCUCGAUACGCAACGAAUGUUGAUACUUCACACUGAAGACCGGCGUGACUGCUGUUUUAAUCGCUGUAAAAUCCCACAAUUUUUCAGUAUGAAACUCAUUAUUUUCAAGUUUUGUGAUUUUCCUUUAAAUAAAGCUGUUUAUCGUUCUGCACAU
This is a long non-coding RNA of Tachysurus fulvidraco (yellow catfish), 2095 nucleotides long. RefSeq lists it as uncharacterized. Lineage: Eukaryota; Metazoa; Chordata; Actinopteri; Siluriformes; Bagridae. The transcript is spliced from 3 exons. The record is from RefSeq and is a predicted model, not a curated record.